UAGGGAAUCUUCGGCAAUGGGGGGAACCCUGACCGAGCAACGCCGCGUGAGUGAAGAAGGUUUUCGGAUCGUAAAGCUCUGUUGUUAAGGAAGAACGAGUGUGAGAAUGGAAAGUUCAUACUGUGACGGUACUUAACCAGAAAGGGACGGCUAACUACGUGCCAGCAGCCGCGGUAAUACGUAGGUCCCGAGCGUUGUCCGGAUUUAUUGGGCGUAAAGCGAGCGCAGGCGGUCAAUUAAGUCUGAUGUGAAAGCCCCCGGCUCAACCGGGGAGGGUCAUUGGAAACUGGUUGACUUGAGUGCAGAAGAGGAGAGUGGAAUUCCAGGUGUAGCGGUGAAAUGCGUAGAUAUAUGGAGGAACACCAGUGGCGAAGGCGACUCUCUGGUCUGUAACUGACGCUGAGGCUCGAAAGCGUGGGUAGCAAACAGG
This 430-nucleotide ribosomal RNA is filed under the name Bacteroidota bacterium. RNAcentral describes it as "Bacteroidetes bacterium partial 16S ribosomal RNA". It matches the Rfam family "Bacterial small subunit ribosomal RNA", at positions 355 to 776 of the family's 1533-position model. Lineage: Bacteria; Pseudomonadati; Bacteroidota. The record is from RNAcentral.